ACUGGGCGUCGUGGCGGGCGCCUGUGAGCCAGCUUCUAGGCAGUAGAUCGGCGUGGAUGGAGUGAGGGGAGGAGUCCCGCGGUGGCCGCAGAGUGCGGAGACCGGGCGUCCGCGUCAAGCGUCGCGUCGCCAGGGGCGUGUGGUCGGAGGGCCGCGUGUCCCGGGCGGUCAAGGAGGGGUGCACGGCACAGGUCCGAAAGGGAGCAGGCAAAAGCCCCCGCGCGAAGCAGUGGCCAGAUCGCGCUCGUGAGCACCUGCACUGUCGUGGCCUCUCCAACACCUUCAAACCGCCGAUCGCUU
Angiostrongylus cantonensis (rat lungworm) is the source of this 300-nucleotide non-coding RNA. The record is from Rfam. Lineage: Eukaryota; Metazoa; Nematoda; Chromadorea; Rhabditida; Metastrongylidae.